This 484-nucleotide ribosomal RNA is filed under the name uncultured bacterium. Its description in RNAcentral is "partial 16S ribosomal RNA". It matches the Rfam family "Bacterial small subunit ribosomal RNA", at positions 30 to 507 of the family's 1533-position model. The record is from RNAcentral.
AUUGAACGCUGGCGGCAGGCCUAACACAUGCAAGUCGAGCGGCUGAAGGGAGCUUGCUCCUGGAUUCAGCGGCGGACGGGUGAGUAAUGCCUAGGAAUCUGCCUGGUAGUGGGGGAUAACGUCCGGAAAUGGGCGCUAAUACCGCAUACGUCCUGAGGGAGAAAGUGGGGGAUCUUCGGACCUCACGCUAUCAGAUGAGCCUAGGUCGGAUUAGCUAGUUGGUGGGGUAAAGGCCUACCAAGGCGACGAUCCGUAACUGGUCUGAGAGGAUGAUCAGUCACACUGGAACUGAGACACGGUCCAGACUCCUACGGGAGGCAGCAGUGGGGAAUAUUGGACAAUGGGCGAAAGCCUGAUCCAGCCAUGCCGCGUGUGUGAAGAAGGUCUUCGGAUUGUAAAGCACUUUAAGUUGGGAAGAAGAGCAGUAAGUUAAUACCUUGCUGUUUUGACGGUACCAACAGAAUAAGCACCGGCUAACUUCGUG